This 254-nucleotide ribosomal RNA is filed under the name uncultured bacterium. RNAcentral's name for it is "partial 16S ribosomal RNA". It matches the Rfam family "Bacterial small subunit ribosomal RNA", at positions 524 to 776 of the family's 1533-position model. The record is from RNAcentral.
CACGUAGGCACCAAGCGUUGUCCGGAUUUAUUGGGCGUAAAGAGCUCGUAGGCGGUUCAGUAAGUCGGGUGUGAAAACUUUGGGCUUAACCCAAAGCGUGCAUCUGAUACUGCUGUGACUUGAGUUCGGUAGGGGAGUGGGGAAUUCCUAGUGUAGCGGUGAAAUGCGCAGAUAUUAGGAGGAACACCGGUGGCGAAGGCGCCACUCUGGGCCGAAACUGACGCUGAGGAGCGAAAGCAUGGGUAGCAAACGGG